UUUGCCUUAAUUUUGCCUCAAUUUUGCCUCAAUUUUGCCUUAAUUUUGCCUCCAUUUUGCCUCCAUUUUGCCUCCGUUUUGCCUCCAUUUUGCCUCCAUUUUGCCCGCGUUCUCCACCAAAAAAAAUGGAACGCCUUUUCCCGUAGCAGCCCCUUUCUUCUCUCCUCAGGCAUCAGAUCAUUUUCGAAGGGCUAUUUUUCCUUCACAGCUAACAGCAUCCGCCUCCAAAGGGCGAAGGGGACUCAUCCUGGCUUCUACUGAUAUCUUCUAAAUCCAACGCAGAGAGAGGGAACGUCCCAAAAUCAAGAGGAGCCAAGUCCCCCGGGGAAUGUAGUAGUCCUUCUCUACUGAGAACCAGGUCCAUCCACUACAUGAUGUUAUGAUGUGGAAUACCAACAACUGAAAAUCACACAACCAUGACAAUGACACACCUUUACAACCGUG
Molecule: long non-coding RNA, 444 nt
Organism: Numida meleagris (helmeted guineafowl)
Lineage: Eukaryota; Metazoa; Chordata; Aves; Galliformes; Numididae
Exons: 2
Source: RefSeq, a predicted model, not a curated record